CCUACGGGUGGCAGCAGUGGGGGAUAUUGCACAAUGGGGGAAACCCUGAAGCAGCAACGCCGCGUGGAGGAUGAAGGUUUUCGGAUUGUAAACUCCUUUUGUUAGAGAAGAUAAUGACGGUAUCUAACGAAUAAGCACCGGCUAACUCCGUGCCAGCAGCCGCGGUAAUACGGAGGGUGCAAGCGUUACUCGGAAUCACUGGGCGUAAAGAGGGCGUAGGCGGGGGAGUAAGUCAGAGGUGAAAUCCUGUGGCUUAACCAUAGAACUGCAUUUGAAACUGUUAGUCUGGAGUGCGGGAGAGGUAGGUGGAAUUCUUGGUGUAGGGGUAAAAUGCGUAGAGAUCAAGAGGAAUACUCAUGGCGAAGGCGACCUGCUGGAACAUAACUGACGCUGAUGCACGAAAGCGUGGGGAGCAAACAGGAUUAGAUACCCUAGUAGUC
RNAcentral lists this ribosomal RNA (440 nucleotides) under uncultured bacterium. RNAcentral describes it as "partial 16S ribosomal RNA". It matches the Rfam family "Bacterial small subunit ribosomal RNA", at positions 338 to 795 of the family's 1533-position model. The record is from RNAcentral.